This 293-nucleotide unclassified non-coding RNA is filed under the name Hevea brasiliensis (rubber tree). The record is from RNAcentral. Lineage: Eukaryota; Viridiplantae; Streptophyta; Magnoliopsida; Malpighiales; Euphorbiaceae.
CACCAAGGAAUACCUUGACUUAUCAAUUAUAGAGAAUUGAAAACUAAGAUAAUUCAAAGGGAGAAUUAAGGAUUCUUGACUCAAAUUUUAUAAUUAAACAAGAACUAAGAGUAUCAAGAUUGUUAAACCCUAUAAGAUUAAUCACUCUUGGAGAAUUUAGUUUAGUUCAAGAAAAAACUUUAAGAAAAAUCCCUUUCUUGUAUUAAUUUUAAUCAAAAGUAAUGUUUAAUUGAAAAAGUAUUAAAUUAGCCUUAUAUAUGCAGCUAAAACCCUAUAUCCCUAAGCUAAAAAUA